RNA transcript from Homo sapiens (human), 2661 nucleotides. It is a transcript of the gene named erythropoietin receptor, with no coding region annotated. The record is from RefSeq and is marked reviewed. NCBI's taxonomy places the organism in Eukaryota, Metazoa, Chordata, Mammalia, Primates, Hominidae. The transcript has 8 exons.
GGUCAGCUGCGUCCGGCGGAGGCAGCUGCUGACCCAGCUGUGGACUGUGCCGGGGGCGGGGGACGGAGGGGCAGGAGCCCUGGGCUCCCCGUGGCGGGGGCUGUAUCAUGGACCACCUCGGGGCGUCCCUCUGGCCCCAGGUCGGCUCCCUUUGUCUCCUGCUCGCUGGGGCCGCCUGGGCGCCCCCGCCUAACCUCCCGGACCCCAAGUUCGAGAGCAAAGCGGCCUUGCUGGCGGCCCGGGGGCCCGAAGAGCUUCUGUGCUUCACCGAGCGGUUGGAGGACUUGGUGUGUUUCUGGGAGGAAGCGGCGAGCGCUGGGGUGGGCCCGGGCAACUACAGCUUCUCCUACCAGCUCGAGUGAGUCCGAUCCGGCGGGUGCCUCCAAGGGCGGAGGGAGGGGGUGGGGCAGAGCUCCCUGGAGGUCGUAGCCUCGUAUGUCCCCUGCUGUUUGAGGCCCGACGGCGCCUCCAGUCGUGGUCACUGGAGGGAAACCUGCGGGUCCAGGGCUGGCACGCCCUCUAUGGGCCGGGGCGCGAACACUCCCGCGAUCACCGCUGGAACGCGACCCCAAACAUCAGGCUGGGAUAACAACGCCUCCAAAUCGAGGGGAUGAGCCAUGGAAGCUGUGUCGCCUGCACCAGGCUCCCACGGCUCGUGGUGCGGUGCGCUUCUGGUGUUCGCUGCCUACAGCCGACACGUCGAGCUUCGUGCCCCUAGAGUUGCGCGUCACAGCAGCCUCCGGCGCUCCGCGAUAUCACCGUGUCAUCCACAUCAAUGAAGUAGUGCUCCUAGACGCCCCCGUGGGGCUGGUGGCGCGGUUGGCUGACGAGAGCGGCCACGUAGUGUUGCGCUGGCUCCCGCCGCCUGAGACACCCAUGACGUCUCACAUCCGCUACGAGGUGGACGUCUCGGCCGGCAACGGCGCAGGGAGCGUACAGAGGGUGGAGAUCCUGGAGGGCCGCACCGAGUGUGUGCUGAGCAACCUGCGGGGCCGGACGCGCUACACCUUCGCCGUCCGCGCGCGUAUGGCUGAGCCGAGCUUCGGCGGCUUCUGGAGCGCCUGGUCGGAGCCUGUGUCGCUGCUGACGCCUAGCGACCUGGACCCCCUCAUCCUGACGCUCUCCCUCAUCCUCGUGGUCAUCCUGGUGCUGCUGACCGUGCUCGCGCUGCUCUCCCACCGCCGGGCUCUGAAGCAGAAGAUCUGGCCUGGCAUCCCGAGCCCAGAGAGCGAGUUUGAAGGCCUCUUCACCACCCACAAGGGUAACUUCCAGCUGUGGCUGUACCAGAAUGAUGGCUGCCUGUGGUGGAGCCCCUGCACCCCCUUCACGGAGGACCCACCUGCUUCCCUGGAAGUCCUCUCAGAGCGCUGCUGGGGGACGAUGCAGGCAGUGGAGCCGGGGACAGAUGAUGAGGGCCCCCUGCUGGAGCCAGUGGGCAGUGAGCAUGCCCAGGAUACCUAUCUGGUGCUGGACAAAUGGUUGCUGCCCCGGAACCCGCCCAGUGAGGACCUCCCAGGGCCUGGUGGCAGUGUGGACAUAGUGGCCAUGGAUGAAGGCUCAGAAGCAUCCUCCUGCUCAUCUGCUUUGGCCUCGAAGCCCAGCCCAGAGGGAGCCUCUGCUGCCAGCUUUGAGUACACUAUCCUGGACCCCAGCUCCCAGCUCUUGCGUCCAUGGACACUGUGCCCUGAGCUGCCCCCUACCCCACCCCACCUAAAGUACCUGUACCUUGUGGUAUCUGACUCUGGCAUCUCAACUGACUACAGCUCAGGGGACUCCCAGGGAGCCCAAGGGGGCUUAUCCGAUGGCCCCUACUCCAACCCUUAUGAGAACAGCCUUAUCCCAGCCGCUGAGCCUCUGCCCCCCAGCUAUGUGGCUUGCUCUUAGGACACCAGGCUGCAGAUGAUCAGGGAUCCAAUAUGACUCAGAGAACCAGUGCAGACUCAAGACUUAUGGAACAGGGAUGGCGAGGCCUCUCUCAGGAGCAGGGGCAUUGCUGAUUUUGUCUGCCCAAUCCAUCCUGCUCAGGAAACCACAACCUUGCAGUAUUUUUAAAUAUGUAUAGUUUUUUUUUGUAUCUAUAUAUAUAUAUACACAUAUGUAUGUAAGUUUUUCUACCAUGAUUUCUACAAACACCCUUUAAGUCCCAUCUUCCCCUGGGCAUAGGCCAUAGGGAUAGAAGUUAAAGUUCUUGAGCUUAUUCAGAAGCUGGAUCUGCAAUCUGAAUGCUACUCAUAACAUAACAAAAUAGUAUGUUAAACAGCUCUUAAAUCUUACUGGCUUACCACAUUAAAUGAUUUCUCUCUCCUAACUCAGCUCAAAUGGGCAGCCAUCCAUGGGAUGAGUCAGAGGUUCAGACUCUUCCAGUCUGUAGCUCUACCUUCUCUUAGGGUACUUAGAUGGAUCCCCUGUUCUACAAACUGCCAGUCAGCAAGGGAAGAAAAAGGGCAGCAAUGACCCUCAAUGGGCCAUUUGAGGGAUCUGGCCUGGAAAUGGGCUUCCUCUCUUCUUCUCACACCUCACUGGCUGGAAACAGUCACAUGACCCCAGUCACAUGAAAGGCCAGGAAACUUAGUUUAGCUGUACACCCAGGAAGGGCAAAGCUGUUUAAGGGCCACUAGCUAGUCUCUGCCACUAAUAAUAAUAAAAGUAAUUCUGAAUCAG